CCAGACUCCUACGGGAGGCAGCAGUGGGGAAUAUUGCGCAAUGGGGGCAACCCUGAUCCAGCGACGCCGCGUGAGUGAAGAAGUAUUUCGGUACGUAAAGCUCUAUCAGCAGGGAAGAAAGAAGACGGUACCUGACUAAGAAGCCCCGGCUAACUACGUGCCAGCAGCCGCGGUAAUACGUAGGGGGCAAGCGUUAUCCGGAAUUACUGGGUGUAAAGGGAGCGUAGACGGUUAAACAAGUCUGAAGUGAAAUGCCGGGGCUCAACCCCGGAGCUGCUUUGGGAACUGUAGAACUGGAGUGUCGGAGGGGUAAGCGGAAUUCCCAGUGUAGCGGUGAAAUGCGUAGAUAUUGGGAGGAACACCGGCGGCGAAGGCGGCUUACUGGACGACAACUGACGUUGAGGCUCGAAGGCGUGGGUAGCAAACAGGAUUAGAUACCCUGGUAGUCCACGCAGUAAACGAUGAAUACUAGGUGUCGGGUGGCAAAGCCAUUCGGUGCCGGCGCAAACGCAAUAAGUAUUCCACCUGGGGAGUACGUUCGCAAGAAUGAAACUCAAAGGAAUUGACGGGGGCCCCGCACAAG
This 583-nucleotide ribosomal RNA is filed under the name uncultured bacterium. RNAcentral describes it as "bacterial SSU rRNA". It matches the Rfam family "Bacterial small subunit ribosomal RNA", at positions 331 to 929 of the family's 1533-position model. The record is from RNAcentral.